CGAAUUCGCCCUUCCUACGGGAGGCAGCAGUGGGGAAUAUUGCGCAAUGGGCGGAAGCCUGACGCAGCGACGCCGCGUGGGGGAUGACGGCCUUCGGGUUGUAAACCUCUUUCGACCUUGACGAAGCCUUUCGGGGUGACGGUAGGGGUAGAAGAAGCACCGGCCAACUACGUGCCAGCAGCCGCGGCAAUACGUAGGGUGCGAGCGUUGUCCGGAAUUAUUGGGCGUAAAGAGCUCGUAGGCGGUCUGUCGCGUCGGUCGUGAAAACUUGGGGCUUAACCCUGAGCUUGCGGUCGAUACGGGCAUGACUGGAGUUCGGCAGGGGAGACUGGAAUUCCUGGUGUAGCGGUGAAAUGCGCAGAUAUCAGGAGGAACACCGGUGGCGAAGGCGGGUCUCUGGGCCGAUACUGACGCUGAGGAGCGAAAGCGUGGGGAGCGAACAGGAUUAGAUACCCUGGUAGUCCACGCCGUAAACGGUGGGCGCUAGGUGUGGGGGCCAUUCCACGGUCUCUGUGCCGCAGCUAACGCAUUAAGCGCCCCGCCUGGGGAGUACGGCCGCAAGGCUAAAACUCAAAGGAAUUGACGG
This 586-nucleotide ribosomal RNA is filed under the name uncultured Pseudonocardia sp. RNAcentral's name for it is "bacterial SSU rRNA". It matches the Rfam family "Bacterial small subunit ribosomal RNA", at positions 325 to 916 of the family's 1533-position model. The record is from RNAcentral. Lineage: Bacteria; Bacillati; Actinomycetota; Actinomycetes; Pseudonocardiales; Pseudonocardiaceae.